Molecule: ribosomal RNA, 426 nt
Filed under: uncultured bacterium
Lineage: Bacteria
Description: bacterial SSU rRNA
Rfam family: Bacterial small subunit ribosomal RNA
Source: RNAcentral
UGGGGAAUUUUGCGCAAUGGGCGAAAGCCUGACGCAGCGACGCCGCGUGAGUGAUGAAGGCCCUCGGGUUGUAAAGCUCUGUUGGGAGAGACGAAUAAGCUUUGGCUAAUAUCGAGGGGGAUGACGGUAUCUCCUAAGCAAGCACCGGCUAACUCUGUGCCAGCAGCCCCGGUAAGACAGAGGGGGCAAACGUUGUUCGGAAUUACUGGGCGUAAAGCGCGCGUAGGCGGCUUGUUAAGUCGGAGGUGAAAUCCCCCGGCUCAACCAAGGAAGUGCAUUCGAGACUGUCGAGCUAGAGUACGGAAGAGGAUCGCGGAAUUCCCGGUGUAGCAGUGAAAUUCGUAGAUAUCGGGAGGAACACCAGUGGCGAAGGCGGCGAUCUGGGUCGAUACUGACGCUGAGGUGCGAAAGCGUGGGGAGCAAACA